RNAcentral lists this long non-coding RNA (250 nucleotides) under Lathyrus oleraceus (garden pea). RNAcentral describes it as "Pisum sativum (pea) long non-coding RNA (PSAT_LNC001818)". Lineage: Eukaryota; Viridiplantae; Streptophyta; Magnoliopsida; Fabales; Fabaceae. The record is from RNAcentral.
GUCGUUAUAUUUUUAAAAGUUUUUUUUUAUUUUCUUUACCAUUUUUCCGAAUAAAGAAAAAAGGAAAAAUACAUAAUUAGAAUCAAAAUAAACUUUUAUUUAUGUCGUUAAGAGUUGCAACAAAAUUCAUGAAGCCCAAACAAAAACACCUCUGCCUUGGACAGAGCAGAGGGAAACUUGUGAAAGAUAAAAACAGAAAAAACAGAAAAAUAAAUUACUCGAACACAUGCAUGGAUUUGGGAAUAUCCAC